AUUGAACGCUGGCGGCAUGCUUUACACAUGCAAGUCGAACGGUAACAGGCCGCGAGGUGCUGACGAGUGGCGGACGGGUGAGUAAUGCAUCGGAACGUGCCCAGUCGUGGGGGAUAACUACUCGAAAGAGUAGCUAAUACCGCAUACGAUCUAUGGUUGAAAGCGGGGGACCGUAAGGCCUCGCGCGAUUGGAGCGGCCGAUGUCAGAUUAGGUAGUUGGUGGGGUAAAGGCUCACCAAGCCAACGAUCUGUAGCUGGUCUGAGAGGACGACCAGCCACACUGGAACUGAGACACGGCCCAGACUCCUACGGGAGGCAGCAGUGGGGAAUUUUGGACAAUGGGCGCAAGCCUGAUCCAGCAAUGCCGCGUGCAGGAAGAAGGCCUUCGGGUUGUAAACUGCUUUUGUACGGAACGAAACGGCUCUGGUUAAUACCCGGGGCUAAUGACGGUACCGUAAGAAUAAGCACCGGCUAACUACGUG
Molecule: ribosomal RNA, 482 nt
Filed under: uncultured bacterium
Lineage: Bacteria
Description: partial 16S ribosomal RNA
Rfam family: Bacterial small subunit ribosomal RNA
Source: RNAcentral